This is a long non-coding RNA of Gorilla gorilla gorilla (western lowland gorilla), 922 nucleotides long. RefSeq lists it as uncharacterized. Lineage: Eukaryota; Metazoa; Chordata; Mammalia; Primates; Hominidae. The record is from RefSeq and is a predicted model, not a curated record. The transcript has 6 exons.
CAGUUUUUCUUAAUCAUAAAUAAAACAUUUUCUAAAUAUUUAUGUCCUCAAACCUUCCACAAGCCCAUUGUGACUUCACUAUGUAAAUCUUUCCAGUCAUUCUUAAUGGUUAUAUGGUCUUUAUCUCCCCAUGACACUCCUCCCACCAUGUUAUUCAGCCUUCAGAUGGAAGCGACAGCCUAGAAGAUGCAUAAAUAAGCUAGAAAAUGUUUCUUCAGUAGAAAUUUCAGUAGAAACUUGGUAAAAUGAUCUCUUUACAACUUCCAUGAUUUUAUUCUCCAGGACAAUAUGGCAGGAUGAUGAGAGUACUGAGGCUUAGAGAAGAUAAAUAACACCAUAACUACAUGACAGAGGUUUUGAUACUUAAACUUUUGGAGGAUUAAAUUUGCGAAAAAAGAAGCUGAGGACCAAAACAGCUACAGGACUGACCUGCCCAAAACCACACAGUGAGUCUGCAGCCCGGCUUCGGACCAGAGUUUCUUCUGACAAGCGGCAAGCUCAUUGAUGGCCACACCCGCUCAUCCUGGAUAAUAGUAUUCCCCAGUGGAAUUAACACGAUGCAUCUUCCUGGAGUAUCAUUUUUACUUUAAGAUUUAAAAGCAAGCAAGCAAAUUAAAUAGUCAUUUAAAUCAUAUUUAUAUUAAGCCUAACAUGGCCAUAUUGUAGAGCAAACCAUCGGGAUUUAAUAAACAAAACAGGAAACUUCAAAGAAAUGCUUUUUCUUGGAAAGAAGGCAGGAGAGCAAGAAAAGCGACUGCCUCAGCCUUUAUCACUCUCCAUACCAGUGCCAAGGAGCCAAAGAGAAGAAAUGAGAAUAAUCAAGGUUUAUGAAACCUAUAUAAAAACCUAUGAAACCUACACAGUCUGUGGAUGGAAUGUGUACUACUCUAGGAAAUGAAUAAAUACGUUAUCAAUAGCAGGG